Molecule: ribosomal RNA, 468 nt
Filed under: uncultured bacterium
Lineage: Bacteria
Description: partial 16S ribosomal RNA
Rfam family: Bacterial small subunit ribosomal RNA
Source: RNAcentral
GACGAACGCUGGCGGCGUGCUUAACACAUGCAAGUCGAACGGAAAGGCCCUGCUUUUGUGGGGUGCUCGAGUGGCGAACGGGUGAGUAACACGUGAGUAACCUGCCCUUGACUUUGGGAUAACUUCAGGAAACUGGGGCUAAUACCGGAUAGGAGCUCCUGCUGCAUGGUGGGGGUUGGAAAGUUUCGGCGGUUGGGGAUGGACUCGCGGCUCAUCAGCUUGUUGGUGGGGUAGUGGCUUACCAAGGCUUUGACGGGUAGCCGGCCUGAGAGGGUGACCGGCCACAUUGGGACUGAGAUACGGCCCAGACUCCUACGGGAGGCAGCAGUGGGGAAUAUUGCACAAUGGGCGGAAGCCCGAUGCAGCAACGCCGCGUGCGGGAUGACGGCCUUCGGGUUGUAAACCGCUUUCGCCUGUGACGAAGCGUGAGUGACGGUAAUGGGUAAAGAAGCACCGGCUAACUACGUG